GUUCUUCAGGGCAAAGUGGUUCAUCAGAGCUUCAGCAUCCAGAGCUCCUUCACUCAGAAAGUGCGGCUGCAGCAGAUCCGCUCGCUGACUGAAGACAUUCGCUUUUAUUAUAAGCGGCUGCGCAACAACAAAGACGAGCUGGAGCCCAGACGGAAAUCCAAAGUGGCUAAUAUUUAUUUUGACGCCAGCUUGCAGUGUGGUGAUCACUGUUAUGUGGGGCUGCCAUUUGUGCUUAAAUCGGAGUCGAAGCCUCACGGUCUGGCGCUUCAGGAAGACAUCUGGGACGCAGACGUAGACCUUCAUCAGAAACUCCUGCGCAGAUGGAAAGAGCUCAAAGAGCGCUCGGGACACAAGUGAGUUUAGACUUAGAGCUCACCGAUUAUACAAAA
This is a long non-coding RNA of Notothenia coriiceps (black rockcod), 389 nucleotides long. RefSeq lists it as uncharacterized. Lineage: Eukaryota; Metazoa; Chordata; Actinopteri; Perciformes; Nototheniidae. The transcript is spliced from 3 exons. The record is from RefSeq and is a predicted model, not a curated record.